GACGAACGCUGGCGGCGUGCUUAAUACAUGCAAGUCAACUGAACUUAAAGUAGCAAUAUUUUGAGGGAGGUGGCGCACGGGUGAGUAACACGUAGGUAAUCUGCCUUUAGGUCUGACAUAAUUCCGCGAAAGCGGGACUAAUAUCAGAUGAUGCAGCGGCUCGACAUCGAGACAGUUGUUAAACCUUCGGGCCUAAAGAUGAGCCUGCGUCUGAUUAGGUAGUGGCGGAGUAAAAGCCCACCAAGCCUGCGAUCAGUAGCUGGUCUGAGAGGAUGAUCAGCCACACUGGAACUGAGACACGGUCCAGACUCCUACGGGAGGCAGCAGUAAGG
This 332-nucleotide ribosomal RNA is filed under the name uncultured bacterium. RNAcentral describes it as "bacterial SSU rRNA". It matches the Rfam family "Bacterial small subunit ribosomal RNA", at positions 28 to 359 of the family's 1533-position model. The record is from RNAcentral.